UGAGACUGACAAUAUUUCUAUUUUCAGUGGUGUUCCUGUAGCGGUGCAGAAAAGUGCACUCACUGAGGACAAAAGGACACAAAUAAAGAUAUUGUGAAGAGUGAAUACUGAGAGCACGAUGCAGCUGUUGCAGUAAAAAUAGUGUCAAAAAAAAUCAUGUAGCUAUUUCUCAAUGGAUGCAGCAGGACUAAGUUUAAAAAAACAAUCAGUACCUAUGAGUGACCCAAUUGACAAACGUCCGUCCAUCAUUGCCAAUGUCAAGGUACAGUGCUUCUCUCCCAGCACGACAGAUCCCAGCUAUGUGCAACAGGGAAAGCAGGAGAGAAUGGAAAUAACAGUGGCAUCUCUUACAAGUACCAUGUGGGUGAUACAGAUUUCAUUGGCCUCUAAACAGAAAUAGAAAUCUGUAGUGAGAGAACAUAAGCUCUUCCAAACGGAAUGAACAUUUGACUCUGGAACAGUAUGGGCAGUUACUGAGAAUACACUUCGAUUUUGUCACAUAGAAGAACAUGGCUCAACUUGCUACAGAAGGACUUGGUUGUGUUGUUGCAGUGGGACCCCUGGCUUAUGAGCAGUGUUGUAAUGAGGAGGAAAGCCUGUAAGGCACCAACACAUGCUCAGAACAAGUUACCUCUGCCAUGUUGCGUUUUAAGUCUAUAUUUAAAGAGAACAUUGAUAUAUGUUUAUUAUAAAUACUCUGAUCUGUGUUCUUUUACACUUCUCCUUCAGCAGUGUUGCAGAUCACAAUGUCUUAACAGCAGGUUGCUGUCUAUCUACAUGAAGCCCAAUGGAAUACAUGAUGAGCAGAUGUAUAUUGCCAUUCUGCAGUGAGCUACAGAUUGCCACCAGGCACAAAAAGGUGGUGAACAGGAAAAGGAGGAACCAAAGCAAAGAUGGGGACAAAAUAUGCUGGAGGAAGGAACAGAGAUGAUUGAAAAGAAGCCCAAAGAUAAUGCAGAGACAGCCUGAAGAAGGAGGCAAUGUAGUACAGUCCAUCAGGAAAGGUAAGUGAGCGUCGAUGAUCCAGAACUAUGCUUCUCCAAAACCCUUUUACUCCUUUAUUCCUUAAUUAUGCUUCACAAAUUAGUAGGUGACAGUAAGAAAUUAUAGGGGAUAAAUGAAGAAUCUUGGCAGUGCUUCAGGAUAAUGACUUGUUUUACGGCAGUUUUGAGUGAGAGAACGGUGCUGUCAUACCUCUGAGCUUUUCCUCAUGUUUAUUUUUUUUCCAGUUUACUUUUCUGUAGCAUUUUUCUGCUUAACAUUAGUCAUUUUAUUCAAAUGUUUUUCAUGACGAGGAGGCUCUUCAUCUACUCAGGUAUAGACUCUGCUGCAUCUUCAGUAUUGUUGUCUGCUGCUUUUAUCAAGGUGGUGUCAUUCAGGCAUUGUGAAUUGAGCCUUAUGGAAACUACCUUUAUAGAAACCCAGCGUAAGUCUUCUUUGAGAAGAGUCAUUCCAACAGAAGAGGUUGUGGACAGGAAUUCUCAGGGUAGUUUCCAGGUAGCUUCUGCCACCAACAAACCUCCCAGCCAUAAGGACUUAGAUGUGCAUUGCCACAAUGUGAAUGGCAUCACAGAUGAGAUGUUUAUCACUAUUGCUGACAGCCUACAUAUUUGGGUAAAGUUACAUCAAAAGAAUGUAACAUUGUGGUUAUGGAUAAUUAGCAAGAAAGCAGAAAUAUGUGAAAACAUUAAGGAGGCUCAAUGCCUAAUAUUUGUAAGUAAUCAAGAAGCAAAUGCAAUAAGAAAUGAUGAUUAUUUGGAAAACUAAACUAUGUAAAUACCAAGUGUAUGCUAUCACCAUACAACUGCUGACCAGAAAAACAGUUACAGAGAAGCUGUAGCCCUGAGCAGAGGUAAAAGUGGUGCUGGUUUCAUUUCAUGAAACACUUCCUCUCUCUAAUUGCUAACACCAGCACAAUGCCGACCCUCAAAACUUACACUGCUUUAUCAGUGCUCUUAUUUGAAGGCAUUGGCCAUGUUCUGUUUCUUUUUUGCCUAUAAUAGGUUA
Non-coding RNA from Meleagris gallopavo (turkey), 2007 nucleotides. The record is from RefSeq and is a predicted model, not a curated record. Lineage: Eukaryota; Metazoa; Chordata; Aves; Galliformes; Phasianidae.